This 301-nucleotide ribosomal RNA is filed under the name uncultured bacterium. Its description in RNAcentral is "partial 16S ribosomal RNA". It matches the Rfam family "Bacterial small subunit ribosomal RNA", at positions 509 to 807 of the family's 1533-position model. The record is from RNAcentral.
CAGCCGCCACGGGAAUACGAAGGGUGCAAGCGUUACUCGGAAUUACUGGGCGUAAAGCGUGCGUAGGUGGUGGUUUAAGUCCGUUGUGAAAGCCCUGGGCUCAACCUGGGAAUUGCAGUGGAUACUGGGUCACUAGAGUGUGGUAGAGGAUAGUGGAAUUUCCGGUGUAGCAGUGAAAUGCGUAGAGAUUGGAAGGAACAUCUGUGGCGAAGGCGACUAUCUGGGCCAACACUGACACUGAGGCACGAAAGCGUGGGGAGCAAACAGGAUUAGAUACCCCCGUAGUCCCUGUCUCUUAUAC